Molecule: ribosomal RNA, 294 nt
Filed under: uncultured bacterium
Lineage: Bacteria
Description: partial 16S ribosomal RNA
Rfam family: Bacterial small subunit ribosomal RNA
Source: RNAcentral
GGAUUAGAUACCCUGGUAGUCCACGCCCUAAACGAUGAGUGCUAGAUAUCGGGGCUUUUGUCCUCGGUGUCGUAGUUAACGCGUUAAGCACUCCGCCUGGGAAGUACGAUCGCAAGAUUAAAACUCAAACGGAAUUGACGGGGACCCGCACAAGCGGUGGAACAUGUGGUUUAAUUCGAUGCUACGCGAAAAACCUUACCAGGCCUUGACAUGAUGGUUAUUUUGCAGAGAGAUCUGCGAGUCGGUUCGGCCGGACCAUUACAGGUGUUGCAUGGCUGUCGUCAGCUCGUGCCG